Molecule: long non-coding RNA, 532 nt
Organism: Passer domesticus (house sparrow)
Lineage: Eukaryota; Metazoa; Chordata; Aves; Passeriformes; Passeridae
Exons: 2
Source: RefSeq, a predicted model, not a curated record
UCUGACAUGAGAUUACAGCAAUUUACACAUAUUUACAUAAUAUUUACACUAGCUGUAACUCAAUGAUUUUUCCUCAAGAAAGGAAAAUUGAAUAAAGCUUAUCUUGUUGCUAUUAGUAAACAGAAGGCACAGCAGUAUUUUCUUAUUUUGUUAGGAGCAGCACAGCUUCUCAUGCUUUUACCCGUUUCCUCUGAUUGGAUCAUAGAACGCUUGGGCUUUCUUCCCCUUUUACGCACAACCAUUUCUGCCUUCUCAGCUUCAUCCUCCUGAAAAAACAAAAUGGAACCACUUCACAGAAGUCAAGUACCACACAACGAGCUAACCCUCCAGAGACAAUUCUGAAGCAUACAGAUUAAAGCUGACAUUUUAACAAAUGUGGAGAAAAUAGGAAAAAGCCCGUAUGUUCAGUGCAGCUGGAUCAGUAUAUCUGUAGAAACCUAAGGUUUUGGAAAGACCAGAAGAUUUGUUUUGAAAGUUUGGUUUCUCAGAUUUUUUACGUGUUUGUUUGCAUUUAUUUACAAACAAUUUUUAA